Long non-coding RNA from Glycine soja, 4122 nucleotides. RefSeq lists it as uncharacterized. The record is from RefSeq and is a predicted model, not a curated record. The transcript has 8 exons. NCBI's taxonomy places the organism in Eukaryota, Viridiplantae, Streptophyta, Magnoliopsida, Fabales, Fabaceae.
AGAAACCACAGAAAUGAAUUUCUGAUGGCUAAUUUUGACCGCCACAAAUAAUACACAGUUUUAAUUUAUUUAUUAACACUUGUUUAUUUUUUAUUAAUUUUGAUAACGUGUCCCUUGACACAACAACUCUCUCCGCAUUCCUUUCUCACUCUUCACUAUUGAUUACGAUCUCUCCACCAUGACGACCAGUUUCACUUUGUGCUCGCAUUCGCCUUCUAGAGAUCACUCCUCGCAUUCUCUCAUUCUCAUAGUCUCGCAUUCUUUUCAGACUCUUGCAUACAAAAUCGUAUCCAUUCAAGGUUGUUCUUCCACUGAGUGUCAUGAAGCUUCAAGAUUGGGAACAAGUAAGAGAACUCAGGUUACUUCAUUUUAGACAUAGUAUCUCUUGGAAGGAAGGUGAGGAGUAAAGACACCGAUUCUUGUAACAGAUAUGCAAUUGUGGUACUAAUUCUCAAUUGAUAUUUGAUAGUGCUCAAAUAAUGUAAGUGUUUUUUUUCCACUGCAAAACUUAGGUUGCUUGCAAUGUGUUUGAUGAAAUGUAUUAUUUCUUCUUUGCUUUAGUUUGAGCACUUCAUCUAAUUUUCAUUUCACUGUUAGUUCUGCUCUAAAUUUUUAAUGGCAAGGAGCAAUCCAAUAGCUUGUUGCCUUGAUUCCAUGCUUAUAAAGCAAUCAUAUAGCACACAAAAAGCUUUUCUAAUGUUGUAAGCUUAAAAUUGUCCUCCUUCAUUGUGAAAUUGAUCAAAUAUCAAUUUUUGUUGAUUAUGUAUCUAGACUUAUUAUGGUUUCAGUUAAAGAGGAAGUUGCAAGUCAUUACCUAGGUCAGGGUGGUUUGGUCUGGUUUCAACUUAUGUUGCUUAUUCUCCUAAGAUUGCAAGUAGAUACUUGGAGUCUUCAUGCAACUAUUGGCUUAAUUAUAGCAUGAAGAAUGGUAAAAUGAACUAUCUACAAUUACUUUAGGAGACCAAACUCUAUAAUAUUGUUCAAGGAGGAAGUAGUAGGACAUGAUUAAUCUGGAUGGAAAUCAGAGAGUUCUGUGACAAGGUUUUCCAAAUAUUCACCAUGUGAAUGACAGUUCAAUGGUGGCAUCCCAAGCAUAAAAUGUAAAGAUUGAGAUGCUUGUGGAUAGGACUGGACCUACUCUCACAGAACAUGAUGAAUCUGGAUGAAAAUCAAAGAGUGCUCCGACAAGGUUUUCCAAAUAUUCACCAUGUGAAUGACAGUUUAAUGGUAUAUUGAAUAUUUCUUUUAUUCCUUUCUUUCCUUUUAGAUGCUUGGUGAUUAAUUUUCCUUUUAGCUUUUUUAGUUUCAUCACUCAUUAAUUUUAAGUUUGAGAAAUAGCUUAUGAUACUGGAAUGAUUUGUAAUGCCUUGUGAAAGAUAUUUAGUUGUUUCUGUUCACAGCUUUCUUUGAUUCACCUAUUAUAAUUAGUCAUUAGCCAUGCCACUCUAGCAUAUUUAAUGCAUAUAUAACCUUAUGAAAUUCAUGUGGAAGGUCAAUUUAUCAAGUUGUCAACAACAAUUAAAAACAAUAAAUUGGGAUAUAAGAAUUUAUGUAGAAACCAUACACAAUAGAUUUUUUCGAUCAAGAAGUAGCAUGUGGAUUUUUUUGCAGCCCAUGUAAGACUCAAUCCUUGAUUUUUAUUUAUUCUUUACUCACUUUGAAUUUGAAUAUUGUAUUGUUAUCUCUAACAUUCCCUUUUGAUAUAUAUCCAGUAAAACUAUGGCAGCUUAACGGGAACAUACAAUUAUUAAAUCUAUUUCUUUUGGCAUUUUGGAAUUUGGAUAUAGAUCUGAAAUUAUUGGUGUUCAAACAAUUAUCAACUUUGCGUAUCCACGUGUUGUUACCAUUUAUAGUCUAUGAUCCCUAUUGGUAGUAACUCUGCUUGAAAUGUUUAGUGUUAUUGACUUCCUUCAGUUUUUUAUCACUUUCCUUCGUUGUUAAGUUACAAUUCAUCAUACAUGAUAGCAUGUUGAUCUUGCUUUAAACAUGUUCUGUUUCUCUCUAUGGAUUCCUGAUUUUAAAAAAGUUAAUGUAAGAAGCUAUGUUUAUCGAGUGGGUCGUACUGCAAGAGCUAGAAGAGAAGGAUAUGCUAUCACUUUUGUGACUGACAAUGACCGAUCACUUUUAAAAGCCAUUGUGAUUAUCAUUAAAAGAGUCGCCGCAUUUUAUCAAGCUUUAUUUUAUAUUUCCUUGCACAGUUUUCCUUAUAAGAUAAAAAAAAGGUUGUGCAUGUUGAUUUGCAUGUUGGGUCCCAUUUAUCAUAAUUAACAAUGUACUUACUCAAAAGGCCCAAAGAACAAUGAAAAGAUUUUUCUGAGGUAGCUCAAAAAGGCAGAGUUCAAAAAGGCAAAGCUCAGAACAAAAAAUAGAAGUUAAUAUGCCUAGAGAUUGAAGAUUUGUCUCCUCGCAUCCUCCAAACCUAAUCAUUGGAGAAACGUAUUAUGGAGUAAAAAAUAAGAGCCUUCCUGAACAGAUAAAGAGGAAUGAUGACUCUUCUCUCAACCAUUGAGCCUAAAAACAUUGAGGAAGCACUAAGUGAAGAUUCUUGGGUGAUAGCCAUGGAGGAAGAACUAAGUCAGUUCACCAAGAACACAGUUUGGAAUCUUGUUCCUCCUCCUAUGAAUCAUUCAGUGAUUGGAAAUAAGUGGGUGCUCAAAAACAAGCUCAAUGAAGAAGGAGAAGUGGUUAAAAACAAGGCUAGACUGGUUGUUUAAGAAUACAAUCAACAAGAAGGAAUUGACUAUGAAUAAACCUUUGCAGCAGUAACAAUACUUGAAGCCAUUAGAAUACUAUUAGCUUAUGCAGCACACAAAGACAUCAAACUAUACCAAAUGGAUGUUAAGAAUGCCUUUCUGAAUGAAUUCAUAAAUGAAGAGGUGUAUGAUACGUGUUACUAAGCAAGCCUGGUUUCGAGGACUAGAGACCUCCAAGAAGAAGAAGAAGGAGAAAGUUCAAGCAAGGGAAUUUCAUUCAUUCAUGAUUCUGUUAGUCUUAUAUAUUAGAUGUUUAUUUAUACUAUUCCUCGCUAACAGAUUUCUUAACAUUUUGUGCACAAGGAAUAUUUACAGAAUCAAAUUGGUUAGGCUUGUCCCCUGCAUCCCGACAGCAUCAACCAAGGAGGAUUCGCAGUGCCAAAAUCACCCUCAGAUAUAGUCAUUGAGUGUAUACGAAGCAACCACUGGGUUUGAAGAUAAAGAAAGACCUUGUCAUGUGUUUAUGGUUUGAAACAAGCUCUAAGAGCUUGGUAUGAAAGGCUAAGUUCAUUUCUAGUUUCAAAUGGAUUCACCAGAGGAAUAACGGACCCCGCACUAUUCAGAAAGGCUCAAAAAGGAAACCUUCUUAUUAUUCAUAUCUAUGUUGAUGACAUAAUCUUUGGUGCAACCUCAAAAAGGAUGUGCAAGGAGUUUUUUGAGUUAAUGAAGGAUGGAUUUGAAACGAGUAUGAAAGGUGAGCUAAAGUUCCUCCUAGGACUUCAAAUCAUUCAGAAAGUUUAUGGGAUUUUUAUCCAUCAAGAGAAAUAUACAAAGUCCCAUCUAAAAAGGUUCAGAAUGGAUGAAGCCAAACCUAUGGCAACCCCUAUGCAUCGUUCCACAAUCAUUGACAAGGAUGAGAAAGGUAAUCAUACUUCAUAAAAGGAGUAUAGUGGUAUGAUUGAUUCUUUAUCAUAUUUAACUUCUAGUAGACCAGAUAUUGUGUUUGUCGUUUGCCUUUGUGCAAGAUUUCAGUCUUAUCCAAAAAUUUCUCAUGUUACUGCAGUUAAAAGGAUCUUAAGAUAUCUUGUUGGAACUACUAAUCAUUGUCUAUGGUUUAAGAAAAGGUCUGAGUUUGAUCUUUUAGGAUAUUGUGAUGUUUAUUUUGCUGGUGAUAAAGUAGAAAGGAAGAGCACUAGUAGAAAUGGAUGACCCGUUGUGGCGAGUGUCUCUUAACUUCAAGGUCUUUAGCUUUGUAGAUUUGUUGUGACAAAUUGCACCUUCGCUAAGGCGAGUCCAUGUUAGUUUCAGCUUAUCAAGUUUCUUGUUUUGUUGUGGCUAAUACACAUCUCAAUGUAGCGAGAUCAUGUAUGCCGCUCUUCAUUCUUUGAUGAUCAAAAUAUGCUCUUGUAAUAUCUAAAUUUACUCAAAA